This is a transfer RNA of Ovis aries (sheep), 73 nucleotides long. It matches the Rfam family "tRNA". Rfam says of the family: Transfer RNA (tRNA) molecules are approximately 80 nucleotides in length. Their secondary structure includes four short double-helical elements and three loops (D, anti-codon, and T loops). The record is from Rfam. NCBI's taxonomy places the organism in Eukaryota, Metazoa, Chordata, Mammalia, Artiodactyla, Bovidae.
UCCCUGAUGGUCCAGUGGCUAAGACCCUGAACUCCCAAUGCAGGGGGCCUGGGUUCAAUCCCUGGUCAGGAAA